CCCGGGCCUUGUACACACCGCCCGUCACACCACGAAAAGCCCGUUGUACCAGAAGUCGCCGGAGCUAACCCGUAAGGGAGGCAGGCGCCCAAGGUAUGGCUGGUAAUUGGGGUG
Molecule: ribosomal RNA, 114 nt
Filed under: uncultured bacterium
Lineage: Bacteria
Description: partial 16S ribosomal RNA
Rfam family: Bacterial small subunit ribosomal RNA
Source: RNAcentral